UGACCAAACGGCGAGUGAAGCGGCAAAAGCUCAAAUUUGAAAUCUGGCUCCUUCGGGGUCCGAGUUGUAAUUUGGAGAGGAUGCUCUGGGAGUGGUCGCGGUCUAAGUCCCCUGGAACGGGGCGUCGCAGAGGGUGAGAAUCCCGUCUUCGGCCGGCCGGCUGCAACCGUGUAGAGCUCCUUCGACGAGUCGAGUUGUUUGGGAAUGCAGCUCUAAAUGGGUGGUAAAUUUCAUCUAAAGCUAAAUACUGGUCGGAGACCGAUAGCGCACAAGUAGAGUGAUCGAAAGAUGAAAAGCACUUUGAAAAGAGAGUUAAAAAGCAUGUGAAAUUGUUGAAAGGGAAGCACAUGCGACCAGAGUCGGCCGUGGGGGUUCAGCAGGGGUUCUCCCCUGUGUAUUCCCCUGCGGUCGGGCCAGCAUCAGUUCUGGCGGCCGGUUAAAGGCUUCGGGAAUGUAUCCUCCUCCGGGAGGUCUUAUAGCCCGAGGUGCAAUGCGGCCAGCCGGGACUGAGGAACGCGCUUCGGCACGGAUGCUGGCUUAAUGGUCGUUUGUGGCCCGUCUUGACCACCCG
This 571-nucleotide ribosomal RNA is filed under the name Ascosphaera celerrima. Its description in RNAcentral is "partial large subunit ribosomal RNA". It matches the Rfam family "Eukaryotic large subunit ribosomal RNA", at positions 73 to 663 of the family's 3401-position model. Lineage: Eukaryota; Fungi; Ascomycota; Eurotiomycetes; Onygenales; Ascosphaeraceae. The record is from RNAcentral.